CAGCCGCCACGGGAAUACGUAGGUGGCAAGCGUUGUCGGGAAUUAUUGGGCGUAAAGCGCGCGCAGGUGGUUUAAUAAGUCUGAUGUGAAAGCCCACGGCUCAACCGUGGAGGGUCAUUGGAAACUGUUAAACUUGAGUACAGGAGAGGAAAGCGGAAUUCCCAGUGUAGCGGUGAAAUGCGUAGAGAUGUGGAGGAACACCAGUGGCGAAGGCGACUCUCUGGUCUGUAACUGACGCUGAGGAGCGAAAGCGUGGGGAGCGAACAGGAUUAGAUACCCCUGUAGUCCCUGUCUCUUAUAC
Molecule: ribosomal RNA, 301 nt
Filed under: uncultured bacterium
Lineage: Bacteria
Description: partial 16S ribosomal RNA
Rfam family: Bacterial small subunit ribosomal RNA
Source: RNAcentral